This 406-nucleotide ribosomal RNA is filed under the name uncultured bacterium. RNAcentral describes it as "partial 16S ribosomal RNA". It matches the Rfam family "Bacterial small subunit ribosomal RNA", at positions 30 to 526 of the family's 1533-position model. The record is from RNAcentral.
AUUGAACGCUGGCGGCAGGCCUAACACAUGCAAGUCGGGCGAGCGGCGGACGGGUGAGUAAUGUAUGGGGAUCUGCCUGAUGGCGGGGGAUAAAUAAUGGAAACGGUAGCUAAUACCGCAUACCAUCAAAUGAACCCAUAUGGGAUUAGCUAGUAGGUGGGGUAACGGCUUACCUAGGCGACGAUCCCUAGCUGGUGUGAGAGGAUGAUCAGACACACUGGGACCGCGACACGGCCCAGAUUCCUACCGUAGGCAGCAGUGGGGAAUAUUGCACAAUGGGCGCAAGCCUGAUGCAGCGACGCCGCGUGGGGGAUGAAGGCUUUCGGGUUGUAAACCUCUUUCGCUAUCGAACGGGUAGGUGGAGAAGAAGCGCCGGCUAACUACGUGCCAGCAGCCGCGGUAAUUC